Molecule: RNase P RNA, 413 nt
Filed under: Zwartia hollandica
Lineage: Bacteria; Pseudomonadati; Pseudomonadota; Betaproteobacteria; Burkholderiales; Alcaligenaceae
Description: beta proteobacterium LF4-65 Bacterial RNase P class A
Rfam family: Bacterial RNase P class A
About the family: Ribonuclease P (RNase P) is a ubiquitous endoribonuclease, found in archaea, bacteria and eukarya as well as chloroplasts and mitochondria. Its best characterised activity is the generation of mature 5'-ends of tRNAs by cleaving the 5'-leader elements of precursor-tRNAs.
Source: Rfam by way of RNAcentral
AAGGCGAAUUGGGCAAUCGCGGUGCUUAAUCGCAUCGAGGAAGGUCCGGACUCCGUAGAGCGGGAUAACGGUUAACGACCGUCCGAGUGUGGGUGGAUGCGAAUCCACUCACGCUUGAGGACUAGGGCCACAGAGACGAGUCUGCAAGGGGGGUGCGCUGAAAGGCGUACUCUUCCACGGUGUUCCCGUGGUGCACGAGGCGCUUGCGCCUUGAAUUUUGCAGGGUGAAACGCGGCAACCUCUAUCCGGAGCAACACCAAAUAGGCAUACGUGUGGCCUUGUGUCACGUUGGGCGGCUCGCCCGAGUAUGCGGGUAGGUGGCUAGAGCACUUCAGCAAUGAUUUGCCCAGAGGAAUGAUUGCCAGCCCACGCAAGUGGGUUUACAGAAUCCGGCCUAUAGAUUCGCCUUGCAC